ACCAACAGACACAUGAAAAGAUGCUCACCAUCACUCGUCAGUGAAAUACAAGUGAAAACCAUGAUGAGCUAGAGCUAUGGAAGCAAAUUCCAGGUUAUAGGCAUGGACCAAGAAAACAAUAUAAAGCUACAAUACAUGGAUGGCAUGUUUGCUGGGUUAUAUGGAUGGGUGGAGAGCUGCUCUGGAUGUUUCUUACCAGUGCUUUGCAAUAUAGCAAAUGGAAUGCUUCAAUUUGACAAGUU
Long non-coding RNA from Hyaena hyaena (striped hyena), 242 nucleotides. RefSeq lists it as uncharacterized. The record is from RefSeq and is a predicted model, not a curated record. The transcript is spliced from 3 exons. Lineage: Eukaryota; Metazoa; Chordata; Mammalia; Carnivora; Hyaenidae.